GCCGGAGUAGCUCAGUUGGUAGAGCAACGCCCUUGUAAGGCGUGGGCCGUCGGUUCGAGUCCGACCUCCGGCU
This 73-nucleotide transfer RNA is filed under the name Acidobacteriota bacterium. RNAcentral describes it as "tRNA-Thr". It matches the Rfam family "tRNA". From Rfam's summary of the family: Transfer RNA (tRNA) molecules are approximately 80 nucleotides in length. Their secondary structure includes four short double-helical elements and three loops (D, anti-codon, and T loops). Further hydrogen bonds mediate the characteristic L-shaped molecular structure. tRNAs have two regions of fundamental functional importance: the anti-codon, which is responsible for specific mRNA codon recognition, and the 3' end, to which the tRNAs corresponding amino acid is attached (by aminoacyl-tRNA synthetases). tRNAs cope with the degeneracy of the genetic code in two manners: having more than one tRNA (with a specific anti-codon) for a particular amino acid; and 'wobble' base-pairing, i.e. permitting non-standard base-pairing at the 3rd anti-codon position. The record is from RNAcentral. Lineage: Bacteria; Pseudomonadati; Acidobacteriota.